This is a long non-coding RNA of Gopherus evgoodei (Goodes thornscrub tortoise), 1530 nucleotides long. RefSeq lists it as uncharacterized. The transcript has 3 exons. Lineage: Eukaryota; Metazoa; Chordata; Testudines; Testudinidae. The record is from RefSeq and is a predicted model, not a curated record.
UGGUUAGGACCAUCAGCGACCUCAGGCAAGUACUCUUUGGAGGCAACAGCCAGAUGGACGACUACCCUUUGUGGGUGAGCCCUGGUGCCUGCUGAAGGCUGAUAUAAUAGCUUCUCCUGCCUGUCCCUUCCUCCACCAUCCAUAUGAACACAUGCUCCCCCUACCCUUGAACUCUGGGUUGGAAGAACUCCUACUCCCCCCAGGCUGGAACCUCUCCAAACAGAACAGUGUGUACUCUAUGGAGAGGAAGCUGGGAGGAAGGUGCAUGAGAAAUUCAAGGUUAGGUGAGAAAGAGCAAAGGAAAGAUACAGAAAGGGAAGAACAAAGGACUGAAAGAGGAAUCGAUGGAAGAGGGAAGCGGAGGAAACAAGAAACGCCUCUUUUCAGAGGUCCGGUCUGAUGACAAAGCUGUCCUUGAUGACAACAUGGAGAUCUCAUGCAGCUCCUUUGGACACCAGUCUUGACAGGCCCCAUGAAUGAAGAAGGACUGCGACACCAUGCCCAGACUCAGCUCCCUUUGAAAUAGGAGGACAAGGCCUGUGCAGUUACCUCUCAGCUGUCGAAGAAAGCGGUGCCGAGAGAGAGGCGAGGAAAUGGACAGAAAUGGGUAGUUAUUUCAUGGAGUGCCAUAAGCAUGCAGGAUGCUUUACAGAACACAUGCACAGACAGGGUACAUGCCUUGAACAGCUUAUGGUCUAACUCAAAUAAAUACCAUACUCAGGACAACUUUCCCAGUAUGUCACUGGGGCUUCAGGAAAGAAUGGAAGAGACUCGCAGGAGAGGGAAUCAUACAACAUGUUCAACCUGCUCCCAUCCUGCAACAGCUGGGAUCUUUGUCAGAAACUUAAUGCCUAGAACUUUAGACCACCGCCACUCAAUUCUCUGAAAGCAUCAGCCCCUUUUCCUGCCAACCCAUCAUCUCUCCAACCCUCUGGUACUUGCAAAACACACAGAAAUGCUACACGCUGCUUCUCAAUGAAGAAGAGGUCAAACAGCCCAUUUAAAUCUUAGAUGUACCCUGUUGUUAUGGACACAAAGUUCUGAACAUGGCUGUUGUCAGAGCAACAGGUAUGUCCUGCUUGGUUUUACCAUCAUAUCAGUACACUCACGGCAUGUACUGUAGGGCAGAUAGCAUUUUCUCUGGACUGAUUUAUUAGGGGACUGAUAGAGGCCACCGUCAUGUCUCACACACAAAGCCACUCUCCCCUUCCCUGUGCAAAUGGAGCACACAGGCCUCAGUGACUUUGAGCUGGGACCAUGAAUUCUCCAAGGAGGAUUUGAGACAUGAGAAAAGAUGAAUCACCCAAUUCUCUCCAACAAUAAACCCCCUGCAGAAUGCCACCAACGCUGGGACCAGAGGAGUAUCAAAAGGGCCAGUGUCACAUUUAACCUCCCAGCUGUGUCUCAAAGAAUCCCCAACCUGGCUGCCUGAUUUCCAGAAUUCGGGGCAUUCUCUAGCAGAGACAAGGGAACUCCAGGAUUCAAAAGCUCCAUUGUUUAUCCUAGCACAGGGCUUAGAAAUGGAUACGG